RNAcentral lists this ribosomal RNA (571 nucleotides) under uncultured Bifidobacterium sp. RNAcentral describes it as "bacterial SSU rRNA". It matches the Rfam family "Bacterial small subunit ribosomal RNA", at positions 134 to 721 of the family's 1533-position model. Lineage: Bacteria; Bacillati; Actinomycetota; Actinomycetes; Bifidobacteriales; Bifidobacteriaceae. The record is from RNAcentral.
GAAUUCGAUUCUCCUGGAAACGGGUGGUAAUGCCGGAUGCUCCGGUUGGAUGCAUGUCCUUCCGGGAAAGAUUUCAUCGGUAUGGGAUGGGGUCGCGUCCUAUCAGGUAGUCGGCGGGGUAACGGCCCACCGAGCCUACGACGGGUAGCCGGCCUGAGAGGGCGACCGGCCACAUUGGGUCUGAGAUACGGCCCAGACUCCUACGGGAGGCAGCAGUGGGGAAUAUUGCACAAUGGGCGCAAGCCUGAUGCAGCGACGCCGCGUGCGGGAUGACGGCCUUCGGGUUGUAAACCGCUUUUGAUCGGGAGCAAGCCUUCGGGUGAGUGUACCUUUCGAAUAAGCACCGGCUAACUACGUGCCAGCAGCCGCGGUAAUACGUAGGUGCAAGCGUUAUCCGGAAUUAUUGGGCGUAAAGGGCUCGUAGGCGGUUCGUCGCGUCCGGUGUGAAAGUCCAUCGCUUAACGGUGGAUCCGCGCCGGGUACGGGCGGGCUUGAGUGCGGUAGGGGAGACUGGAAUUCCCGGUGUAACGGUGGAAUGUGUAGAUAUCGGGAAGAACACCAAUCACUAGUG